UACAGAGGUCUCAAGCGUUGUUCGGAUUCAUUGGGCGUAAAGGGUGCGUAGGCGGCGCGGUAAGUCGGGUGUGAAAUCUCGGAGCUUAACUCCGAAACUGCAUUCGAUACUGCCGUGCUUGAGGACUGGAGAGGAGACUGGAAUUUACGAUGUAGCGGUGAAAUGCGUAGAUAUCGUAAGGAAGACCAGUGGCGAAGGCGGGUCUCUGGACAGUUCCUGACGCUGAGGCACGAAGGUCAGGGGAGCAAACGGG
This 253-nucleotide ribosomal RNA is filed under the name uncultured bacterium. RNAcentral describes it as "partial 16S ribosomal RNA". It matches the Rfam family "Bacterial small subunit ribosomal RNA", at positions 524 to 776 of the family's 1533-position model. The record is from RNAcentral.